CAAAGACUAAGCCAUGCAAGUGCAAGUACGAGUCGCGCUUCGACGCGACGAAACUGCGAAAGGCUCAUUAAAUCAGUCGUGGUCUACGUGGUCGUGCGGCGACGAGAGUCGUCAGAGGUGGAUAACCGUGGAAAAGCUAGAGCUAAUACAUGCAAGCGAGCGCCGACUUCGGGAGGCGUGCAUUUAUCAGACCGCGCGUCGGCCGAGCGCCGCGUCGAUGUUCGGGCCGCGAGGCCCGGCGUUAUCGGACGGCGCUCGUCGAUGGUGGUGACUCUGGAUAACUUAUCGUGCUGAUCGCCGGUCCCAUUGUAGAGACCGGGCGACGAACCACUCGAGCGUCUGACCUAUCAACUGUUGUCGGUAAGGUCUCGGCCUACCGAGGUGCUCACGGGUGACGGGGAAUCAGGGUUCGAUUCCGGAGAGGGAGCCCGAGAAACGGCUGCCACUUCC
This 450-nucleotide ribosomal RNA is filed under the name Didemnum vexillum. RNAcentral describes it as "SSU rRNA". It matches the Rfam family "Eukaryotic small subunit ribosomal RNA", at positions 38 to 417 of the family's 1831-position model. The record is from RNAcentral. Lineage: Eukaryota; Metazoa; Chordata; Ascidiacea; Aplousobranchia; Didemnidae.